This 1382-nucleotide long non-coding RNA is filed under the name Brassica napus (rape). RNAcentral describes it as "long non-coding RNA (BNAP_LNC009914)". The record is from RNAcentral. Lineage: Eukaryota; Viridiplantae; Streptophyta; Magnoliopsida; Brassicales; Brassicaceae.
CGUGGGACAUUAUUUGUUAUACACUUGUAUGUGUUUUGUGGAUAAAUAUGGUAUGGAACUAUGGAUAUAUAUAUUGCUGAGUGUAGGUUGGUGAUAUGGAUGAGACGAGACCCAUAUAUGAUGAGAGCAUUGAGAGGUUUAUAUUCUUUUUUGGUCAAAAUAAGCAAACAAAGUUUCUUUUCUAUUACCUAGAGCAAACAAAGUUGAUAACUCUCUCGUCCUGAUUUGAUCUCAUUGAUCUUAACUUCAGUUGAACUUGUACUUAAUAUACUUUUCUCAAAUUGCAACAUCUAGUGUGUGACGCCAACUGUGGGAUUGUCUGGUCGCAAAGAUCGCAUGGUCAACAAUAUUAAAAAGUUUCAAAAAAUUUGUAGGUGUUGGAGAUGGGUCAUUGGACCUAGCAUAGAGCCCAAAGAAAUGUUAGACCUAAAAUCAUGUUCCGCCCACAUAAGAAAACAUACUCUAAUAUACUUAUCAAAUCAUACUUUUAUAAAGAUGAUACUAUUCAUUAAAAGGGUAUGCUAACUCGUUCAUAUACACGCUUUCACAAAGAUGAUCAUCCACAUUUCGUAAUCGUCACGGUAGAUCACUACCUCAAAUCUUAUUUAUUGGAUAUAGUCUCGGUUUAAUCAGAGUUUGGUUUAGAUAGUUUAAUUAUGGUUUAGCUUGGUUAAGUUUCCUUUAGCUUAUAGUUUAAUUAUGGUUUAGCUAAUCAGAGUUUGGUUUAGAUAGUUUAAUUAUGGUUUAGCUUGGUUAAGUUUCCUUUAGCUUAAUCAAGUGUAUAUAUGUGUGAGUCGUGAUGUAACUAAUAACAAAUUUUUACCAUCUUCUUCAUCAUCUCAGUCUCCAUGGAUCAAUCUUGAAGGAUCAACGAGAGUUAAUAUGGUAUCAGAGAACUCAACAACGUCUUCCGCUUCCUCUGUUUCAGGAUGAGCUUUUUGAUCUCCGUUUUCUCACGAUUUGUUCGUCUUUUCUGCGUCGCGAUCGGUGAUCUUCUGAUUCAGUAUGCUCUUUGUUACUCUCUUCUUGUUCGAUCUCUAUUUGGUUGAUCGUUGCAAUAUCUGAUUGUGUGAUUGUGUGAUUUGAGAUUUCUUGAUUGACUAAGUUUUCUCCAAGAGCAACUCCUUGUGUCUUCUUAGGAUAUCCUCUUGGAUACAAAGGAUAUAAACUUUUGGACUUAAAGUCUCAUAAUUUUUUCACCUCACGCAAUGUUAUCUUUCAUGAAUUUGAUUUUCCUUUUUAAAGCUACUUCACUUUUGCGUGACUCAGUCAAUAUGUUUCCUAAUUCUGUAUUGCCUUUACCUGCACCUUUACAUGUUGAAUCUAUGCCUUUACCUGAUUCUUCUUCUGAUGUUGCAUCAUCAUCCAAUACAACACAGCCU